GUACACGCUGUGACUAGCAUAUCAAUAAGCGGAGGAAAAGAAACUAACAAGGAUUCCCUUAGUAACGGCGAGUGAAGCGGGAAGAGCUCAAAUUUGAAAUCUUCAAGGUUUUACCUUGACGAAUUGUAGUUUAAAGAAGUGUUUUCUGUUGAAGUUUUGGUAAAAGUUCUUUGGAAUAGGACAUCAUAGAGGGUGAGAAUCCCGUAUUUGACCAUUACUUUCAACUUUGUGAUACACUUUCAAAGAGUCGGAUUGUUUGGGAAUGCAGUCCAAAAUGGGUGGUAAAUUUCAUCUAAAGCUAAAUAUUGGCGAGAGACCGAUAGCGAACAAGUACCGUGAGGGAAAGAUGAAAAGAACUUUGAAAAGAGAGUUAAACAGUACGUGAAAUUGUCAAAAGGGAAGCGUUUGACACCAGUGUUGUUUUUCUGAAAAUCAAUUAAAGAACUGUUUAUGCUAAGUUGUUUAGACUUUAUCAGCUAAUCUGCUUAGUUUUGAGCUUUUCUUUAAUGCACUUUUCAGUUAACAAGUCAACAUCAAUUUCUUUUGCUGUAAAAAAGCUUGAGGAAGGUGGCUUGAGAUUCGUCUUAAGUGUCUAUAGCCUCUUGCCUAUGCAGUCGGAGAGAUUGAGGUCUGCAGCGUAGAUCCUUCGGGGCUAAAUGCAUCUGUGCUAAGUUAUAGCAUUUUAUAGACAACUUGUUGACUAUGAUUUGUCCUUAUAGCUUACUCGCUUAUGUUAUUUUACCUACGCUUAGGAUGUUGACGCAUGAGAUAUACGC
This 776-nucleotide ribosomal RNA is filed under the name uncultured Neocallimastigales. RNAcentral's name for it is "partial large subunit ribosomal RNA". It matches the Rfam family "Eukaryotic large subunit ribosomal RNA", at positions 22 to 646 of the family's 3401-position model. Lineage: Eukaryota; Fungi; Neocallimastigomycota; Neocallimastigomycetes; Neocallimastigales. The record is from RNAcentral.